CGGGGUAUCUCUGUAAAUGGUCUUCGAACUGUUUGCACAUGUGGUUCUGGUGAAUUUUCUGUGGUUACUACAGGAAUUUAAGAAUGUCUCUGCUAACGGGAAGGAUUGUGCAUAAUCUUUCAGUCAGUUUAAUUGAAGUCUGGAGCUGGCAUGUCAGUUAACUGCUAGUAGUCUGUAGUUAUUUAUGUAUUAUUGUCAUUUUUUUUUAUUUUCUUUGGUUACAUCUUCUGACAUCAGACUCGGAUUUCUCUUGAACUGAAUUCUAAUGUGCGUAUUGUUAUGCGUUUACUUUACAACAUUGUUUAGAGGUAUAGGGGGAGGGUUGAGAUCUCACAAACAUGUUUAACCCCGCCGCAUUUUUGCGCCUGUCCCAAGUCAGGAGCCUCUGGCCUUUGUAUUAUUUUAAUUUUAGUUUCUUGUGUACAAUUUGGAAAUUAGUAUGGCGUUCAUUAUCACUGGACUAGUAUAUAUUUGUUUAGGGGCCAGCUGAAGGACGCCUCCGGUGCGGGAAUUUUUCGCUACAUUGAAGACCUGUUGGUGACCCUCUGCUGUUGUUUUUUUUAUUUGGUCGGGUUGUUGUCUCUUUGACACAUUCCCCAUUUCCAUUCUCAAUUUUAAACUUAGUUAGUUUACAGAAU
Molecule: long non-coding RNA, 638 nt
Filed under: Mytilus galloprovincialis (Mediterranean mussel)
Lineage: Eukaryota; Metazoa; Mollusca; Bivalvia; Mytilida; Mytilidae
Source: RNAcentral